ACGGGUGAGUAAUGCCUAGGAAUCUGCCUGGUAGUGGGGGAUAACGUUCGGAAACGAACGCUAAUACCGCAUACGUCCUACGGGAGAAAGCAGGGGACCUUCGGGCCUUGCGCUAUCAGAUGAGCCUAGGUCGGAUUAGCUAGUUGGUGAGGUAAUGGCUCACCAAGGCGACGAUCCGUAACUGGUCUGAGAGGAUGAUCAGUCACACUGGAACUGAGACACGGUCCAGACUCCUACGGGAGGCAGCAGUGGGGAAUAUUGGACAAUGGGCGAAAGCCUGAUCCAGCCAUGCCGCGUGUGUGAAGAAGGUCUUCGGAUUGUAAAGCACUUUAAGUUGGGAGGAAGGGCAGUUACCUAAUACGUAAUUGUUUUGACGUUACCGACAGAAUAAGCACCGGCUAACUCUGUGCCAGCAGCCGCGGUAAUACAGAGGGUGCAAGCGUUAAUCGGAAUUACUGGGCGUAAAGCGCGCGUAGGUGGUUCGUUAAGUUGGAUGUGAAAUCCCCGGGCUCAACCUGGGAACUGCAUUCAAAACUGUCGAGCUAGAGUAUGGUAGAGGGGUGGUGGAAUUUCCUGUGUAGC
Molecule: ribosomal RNA, 582 nt
Filed under: Pseudomonas sp. StFRB335
Lineage: Bacteria; Pseudomonadati; Pseudomonadota; Gammaproteobacteria; Pseudomonadales; Pseudomonadaceae
Description: bacterial SSU rRNA
Rfam family: Bacterial small subunit ribosomal RNA
Source: RNAcentral